AGCGAACCCUGGCGGCAGGCCUAACACAUGCAAGUCGAACGAACUCUUCGGAGUUAGUGGCGGACGGGUGAGUAACACGUGGGAACGUGCCUUUUGGUUCGGAAUAACUCAGGGAAACUUGUGCUAAUACCGAAUGUGCCCUUCGGGGGAAAGAUUUAUCGCCAUUAGAGCGGCCCGCGUCUGAUUAGCUAGUUGGUGAGGUAACGGCUCACCAAGGCGACGAUCAGUAGCUGGUCUGAGAGGAUGACCAGCCACACUGGGACUGAGACACGGCCCAGACUCCUACGGGAGGCAGCAGUGGGGAAUCUUGCGCAAUGGGCGAAAGCCUGACGCAGCCAUGCCGCGUGAAUGAUGAAGGUCUUAGGAUUGUAAAAUUCUUUCACCGGGGACGAUAAUGACGGUACCCGGAGAAGAAGCCCCGGCUAACUUCGUG
Molecule: ribosomal RNA, 433 nt
Filed under: uncultured bacterium
Lineage: Bacteria
Description: partial 16S ribosomal RNA
Rfam family: Bacterial small subunit ribosomal RNA
Source: RNAcentral